AGUGAACGCUGGCGGUAGGCCUAACACAUGCAAGUCGAACGGCAGCACAGUAAGAGCUUGCUCUUACGGGUGGCGAGUGGCGGACGGGUGAGGAAUACAUCGGAAUCUACUUUUUCGUGGGGGAUAACGUAGGGAAACUUACGCUAAUACCGCAUACGACCUACGGGUGAAAGCAGGGGAUCUUCGGACCUUGCGCGAUUGAAUGAGCCGAUGUCGGAUUAGCUAGUUGGCGGGGUAAAGGCCCACCAAGGCGACGAUCCGUAGCUGGGCUGAGAGGAUGAUCAGCGACACUGGAACUGAGACACGGUCCAGACUCCUACGGGAGGCAGCAGUGGGGAAUAUUGGACAAUGGGCGCAAGCCUGAUCCAGCCAUACCGCGUGGGUGAAGAAGGCCUUCGGGUUGUAAAGCCCUUUUGUUGGGAAAGAAAAGCAGCAGGUUAAUACCCCGCUGUUCUGACGGUACCCAAAGAAUAAGCACCGGCUAACUUCGUG
This 492-nucleotide ribosomal RNA is filed under the name uncultured bacterium. RNAcentral describes it as "partial 16S ribosomal RNA". It matches the Rfam family "Bacterial small subunit ribosomal RNA", at positions 29 to 507 of the family's 1533-position model. The record is from RNAcentral.